Molecule: ribosomal RNA, 433 nt
Filed under: uncultured soil bacterium
Lineage: Bacteria
Description: bacterial SSU rRNA
Rfam family: Bacterial small subunit ribosomal RNA
Source: RNAcentral
AGAUUGAACGCUGGCGGCAUGCUUUACACAUGCAAGUCGUGCGGCAGCGCGGGGGCAACCCUGGCGGCGAGCGGCGAACGGGUGAGGAAUACAUCGGAACGUGCCCCGGAGUGGGGGAUAACCCAGCGAAAGUUGGACUAAUACCGCAUAUGCUCUGAGGAGGAAAGCAGGGGACUUCGCAAGAGGCCUUGCGCUCUGGGAGCGGCCGAUGUCCGAUUAGCUAGUUGGUGGGUGAUGGCUCACCAAGGCGACGAUCGGUAGCUGGUCUGAGAGGAUGAUCAGCCACACGUGGACUGAGACACGGCCAGACUCGUACGGGAGCAGCAGGUGGGAAUUUUGGACAAGUGGGGACAACCGUGAUCCAGCCGAUCGGCCGCGGUCGGACGGAACGAGGUCCGUUCGGUUACGGUAAACCGUCGUUUGGUACGGGAAG